AACGAACGCUGGCGGCAUGCCUAACACAUGCAAGUCGAACGAGACCUUCGGGUCUAGUGGCGCACGGGUGCGUAACGCGUGGGAACCUGCCCUUAGGUUCGGAAUAAUUCCCCGAAAGGGGUGCUAAUAACGGAUAAUGUCUUCGGACCAAAGAUUUAUCGCCUUUGGGUGGGCCCGCGUUGGAUUGGCUAGUUGGUAGGGUAAAAGCCUACCAAGGCGACGAUCCAUAGCUGGUCUGAGAGGAUGAUCAGCCACACUGGGACUGCGACACGGCCCAGACUCGUACGCAAGGGAGCAGAAGAUAAUAUUAGACAAUGGGCGAAAGCCUGGUCCAGCAAUGCCGCGUGAGUGAUGAAGGCCUUAGUAUUGUAAAGCUCUUUUACCCGAGAUGAUAAUGACAGUACCGGGAAAAUAAGCACCGGCUAACUCCGUG
Molecule: ribosomal RNA, 433 nt
Filed under: uncultured bacterium
Lineage: Bacteria
Description: partial 16S ribosomal RNA
Rfam family: Bacterial small subunit ribosomal RNA
Source: RNAcentral